RNAcentral lists this long non-coding RNA (211 nucleotides) under Elaeis guineensis (African oil palm). RNAcentral's name for it is "long non-coding RNA (EGUI_LNC070576)". The record is from RNAcentral. Lineage: Eukaryota; Viridiplantae; Streptophyta; Magnoliopsida; Arecales; Arecaceae.
UGUUUGAUGAAAAAGAGUUUUCAUAGACAUCACAUCUGGACUUGAGCUAAUCGAAUCUAUCAUAUGACUGAUGUUGAGAUUUGAUGAUUUAUCUAUGACCUGUCAUCUAGUCGGAACUCACAAUAAAGGGACUGAAUCACACGUUAACUAUAUCAAGAGAUUCAUUUUAGUUCUACUGGAUUGCCACUAUAUACUGCUAGAUAUCAUUGGU